UGGGGAAUUUUGCGCAAUGGGCGAGAGCCUGACGCAGCAACGCCGCGUGAGUGAUGAAGGCCUUCGGGUCGUAAAGCUCUGUCAGAGGGAAAGAACAACCUGUCGGUUAAUACCCGGCGGGCCUGACGGUACCCUCAAAGGAAGCACCGGCUAACUCCGUGCCAGCAGCCGCGGUAAUACGGAGGGUGCGAGCGUUGUUCGGAAUUAUUGGGCGUAAAGCGCGUGUAGGCGGUUGUUUAAGUCUGAUGUGAAAGCCCCGGGCUUAACUUGGGAAGUGCAUUGGAAACUGGGCAACUGGAGUACGGGAGAGGGUAGUGGAAUUCCGAGUGUAGGGGUGAAAUCCGUAGAUAUUCGGAGGAACACCGGUGGCGAAGGCGGCUACCUGGACCGAUACUGACGCUG
Molecule: ribosomal RNA, 402 nt
Filed under: uncultured bacterium
Lineage: Bacteria
Description: bacterial SSU rRNA
Rfam family: Bacterial small subunit ribosomal RNA
Source: RNAcentral